GGCCUACCAUGGUGGUAACGGGUAACGGGGUGUUAGGGCACGACACCGGAGAGGGAGCCUGAGAAACGGCUACCACAUCCAAGGAUGGCAGCAGGCGCGCAAAUUACCCAAUCCCGACACGGGGAGGUAGUGACAAUAAAUAACAAUACGGGGUUCUUAAGGAUCUCGUAAUUGGAAUGAGUACAAUUUAAAUCUCUUAACGAGGAACAAUUGGAGGGCAAGUCUGGUGCCAGCAGCCGCGGUAAUUCCAGCUCCAAUAGCGUAUAUUAAAGUUGUUGCAGUUAAAAAGCUCGUAGUUGAAUUUCGGGGUCAGUAGGUUGGUCGUGCCACAGGUAUGAACUGGUCUCACUGAUUCCUCCUUCCCGAUGAACCGUAAUGCCAUUAAUUUGGUGUUGCGGGGAGACUGGACUGUUACUUUGAAAAAAUUAGAGUGUUUAAAGCAGGCUAACGCUUGAAUACAUUAGCAUGGAAUAAUGAAAUAGGACGUUCGGUCUUAUUUUGUUGGUUUCUAAGAUUGACGUAAUGAUUAAUAGGGAUAGUUGGGGGCAUUAGUAUUCAAUUGUCAGAGGUGAAAUUCUUGGAUUUAUUGAAGACUAACUACUGCGAAAGCAUUUGCCAAGGAUGUUUUCAUUAAUCAAGAACGAAAGUUAGGGGAUCGAAGACGAUCAGAUACCGUCGUAGUCUUAACCAUAAACUAUGCCGACUAGGGAUCGGAUGAUGUUAAUUUUUUAAUGACUCAUUCGGCGCCUUACG
This 753-nucleotide ribosomal RNA is filed under the name uncultured Glomeromycotina. RNAcentral describes it as "SSU rRNA". It matches the Rfam family "Eukaryotic small subunit ribosomal RNA", at positions 338 to 1092 of the family's 1831-position model. The record is from RNAcentral. Lineage: Eukaryota; Fungi; Glomeromycota.